GAUCUCGCAGGUCACCCAGACCAUCCGCUACCUCUCAGCCAGGGUUGGGUGGGGUGAGAACAGAGUUUUGGAGGGGGAUCCUCUUUAAGAAAAAGAACGUAAAGCUACAAGCGACAUUAAUACAGAAAUGAAGAUUUAUUCAGAAUGAGAAAUCACAGCAAAUUAUACAUUUCAAAAAGCUGAAAGUUGACAACAUAGACAUCACAAAAACCCAGAAAAGAAUAAAAAUAUAUUUUAUAAACUAUUAUUGAUCCUCUGCUGCCACUCAUCUACAAUGUUUUCAUCUUGCAUGUUUUGGCUAUAUGUUCUCUGAUUUCUUCAUAGGACAAUAAUUUUGUAUUAUCAUUUUCUAUAGGGAGAAAAAAGGUAAUUCUAUCUUUCCUGUAAACAUGGUUGGCCCUAGUUUGGUUGGCCCUCGGUAGUUUGAAAACGUGCAUCUGUUGGCUUCUUUGCUUGGCAUUGGUAAUGUCACACCUCAGCCAUUCUCUGUUCAGCUAUGUGAGCUCCUGAUCAGCCUCCCAGGCCUUUGUCCCUCAAUUCCCCCUCAGCUGCGUCAGCUCAGUCACAGCCUUGCCCACAUGGGCACUUGCCCCUCACCUGCCUCUGCUGCUCCAGUCCUGGGGUAGGGGACAGAGUGGCUAUGGGACCUGGUCGUGAUGACCUCUGAGUGGGAUGCUGAGCAGGGUCUUAUUGGCUCUUUCCUCCUGGAGUUGAAGCGUGUGGAGCCUUGGUGAGUGAGUCCCCCAGAAACACGUGGGAGCCCUGCCAUUGAAGGUGGGCUAGCACCUGUAGUCCUAGGACCCUGCUGGGGAGUGGUGUGUGACAUUUGCUGGGGCAAUGUGCCCUACUGGGGCCACUGUGGCCUCCCAGCCAGCCCUCAAGUAUAAUGCAUUGAGGCACAGAAAGGCCAGUUUUGGGUGUGGGGCCAUGAGGUGCGGGCUCUGGUGGCCUCAUGGUCAGUCCCCCUCUGGUCCUGGGUUAGCAUUUCCCAGAGGGGCCUGGGAUGCCCUGUGAGAAGAGGCUCCCUAGUUGUCUUAGUUCAGGCUACAAAGUACCAUAGACUGGGUGGCUUAUAAACAACAGUCAUUGAUUUCUCACAGCUCUGGUGGCUGGAACUCCAAGCUGGAGUGCCAGCACCACUGAUUUCUGGUGAGGGCUCUCUUCUGGGCUGCAGACAGCUGACUUCUAUCCUUGCAUGGUGGAAAGAGAGCAAAGGAGCGCUCUGUUCUCUUCUUAAAAGUUUACAGCUCACCACUUCCAGCCUGGGAACUCCGUGCUAAUUGAGACUUGGAAAGAAGACAAGCUCCAGCCAUGCUGGGAAGUUUCCUGUCAAGGGCUCCUGAUCACUAAGACAGAUGCAGGGGGCAGAGUUCAACUCUCAACUUGUACCCACAUCUUAAAUGUUACUGGUAAGUCAAACAAAGGCAACUACUUGCCUCUUCAUAUACCCCCGGCUAAUGUCUAGUGGUAUUGUGGGAAAAGGAACCUCUGCAACUUGUUACUGCCCAAUUGAACCGGGACUUGUGCCUUAGUUUAACUGGCCAUUCCAUUCGCUUUGGCAAAUUCCAUAAAAUCCCCGAAAAUCCACAUGGCCACCAAAGUUGGAGAGAUCUAAGAAAUUCCUUUAAUCCCAACAUUUAUGUUAACUCAAUAGGAGCCACUAAAGGAGUACUUAAUGAAUUUAAGGACUAAAGGACACAAAAAUAAAUGUGAAAAUGGGACCAGUAGGGGUAAAAAGAAAAAGAGGAGGGAAUUGAAGGAAGUAAUGUAUACAGCCGUCCAUUUCCAAGACAAAGUGCCUUAAAUCAUCUUAGGGCAGCAAACUACAAAAGAAACUGAAAAUACUAGGUCCCUGCUUGAAUAGCCAAUGCCUGCUUGUCAGCCUCCCCUUCCCCCCACCACCCCACUUAGUUGCCCUCACCGGAACCAAAAAAGUUUAGUCUAAAAUAAAAGUUUACUAGUCUGCAAAAUAGCUCGCUUUGUCUUUUCUUAUCAGUCUGUCCAGCUACUUAGGUCAUAAGUCAAAUACUUGAAGAGCUCAUGAGCUAACUAGGAUUGCUAUGCAUUGUGGGCUGCAACAAAAUGCAGCAAGACAACCCUAAAGAAAACACCUAAAGCCCCUGCCUAACAAUCAAUAGCGACGUCCGUCUGGGAAAAUUGUAACCCUGUAGUACUCAACCUAUGAAGAAUGGCAGGGAAGGACCUGCACACUAGGGGAUAAAUUGCUUGUUAAAACUGUGCUGGGUGUGCCUGUGUGUCAAACACCCAAUCUUGCAAAACUGUCGUUACAAGUCUCACUUUGCUGUCCUGUGGGUCUCUAAGUCCAUUCUUUGAGUUUGAACAGUUAAGUUUGUUUCUCAUAGUUUGAAUGCUUAUUUUUGUACUAAAUGUUGUAUUAGGUAUCUUAUGUUUGCUGUCUUAUUUAAUUCUCACAAUAAACCUACAAAGCAGUGGUAUUCUUUCCAUUUCAUGGAUGAAGAAACUGAGGUUCACGGAGGCUCAGUAACUAAUGCAAGCCAAAUGGGUAGUGGAUGAUGGAGUGGGCUGUGAAUUCAGGUUUUCUUGUAUCACUUGACCACAGGCUAAAUGACAAGGGCUACUCUGGGGCCAAUGACAGCUCCUAAGACCCAGAACACAUGCAUGCCUGUCAGGGCAGAGAAAUUGAGUCUGUUUGGAAGCCAACUUAAGCCUUAGGAAUAUAGCCUUUAGAGCAAACGGUUUUAACCCAGGUCAGCAGAUGGAAUUCAUGGGAUCUAUGAACUUGGACAAGAAACACUUCCGCGUCAUUUUCACUAACUUUUCACUGAAUUUAGCACCUCUCUCACCUAUCACGUAGGCAAUAAAUCAGUGUUGGCCAGACCUGUAACUCUGUCAUUAAAAGAAACUACAGAUAUUUGCAUUUCACGUUACAGUGUUUACCAAUAUCUCAAAAUAUUGCUUAUGCAAUUUGUCAUGACUUUGCAUUUAUAGUAAUUAGACCUGCAGCAGACCUUGUUGUUUGUUACUCACAGAAUAUAUAUAUAUAUAUAUAUAUAAUUAUGUUAUGAAUUAGUUUUCAAAAGUGUUUUGAUAACUGUGGUUUAAUAUAAUUUAUUGGUCUUAUUUUGUGCACUUAAAAAUAUUCUUCUGGAAAAGCCUCCAUAUGCCCCACCAGACUGUCAGAGGACUCCAGAUACAGAACGGUCUCGAUGCCCUGACUCAGCAAGAGUGACUGAGUCAAAUCCUGACUGUCUCAUAUACCAGCUGGAGGACAUUAAGUUCUGUAGCCUGGUGGGAUGUCUCUCCUAAAUCAGGGUUUCUCAGCCUUGGCCCUGUUGAUGUUAGGGCUGCAUAAUUCUUUGCUGGGGAUGGUAUGGGGGUGAAUGGGGGCUAGCUCGUGCACUGUGGGAUGUGUGACAUUCCUGGCCUUGACCCACAAGAUGCAAUAGUACCCCACCCCCCAGUAUAUUCCUGGCCUUGACCCACAAGAUGCAAUAGUACCUCACCCCCCGGUUGUGACAACCCAAAAUGCCUCCUCUAGACAUUGUCUCAUGCCCCUGUGGGCAAGAUGGCCCAGUUGAGAACUGCUGUGCUAGAUGUGCAAUGUGAUAUUAGAGGAUUCUUGGGAGUACACUGCGAUCAUGCCUCAAUGCCUGAGUGCUCCAUGUGGCGCUCUAUCCUGUUUUUGUUAGGACACCAGAUUUCAGUAAGUUCAGGGUCAAGAGGGACUGGUCUCUCAGCCUGAGGGUCCACAAGGAAGUCCCUCUGGAGGGUUGGCAGCCUGCACUGGGGUGAUUCCAACUGGGAGUCCAGGGGAGCCCAGUCCUGGCGAGCUGAUGAUGGGAUGGAGAAGAACAGUGACUCAUGGGUGCCUACGGGUGCCCCGGACCUGAAAGAUAGACAGCAGGGGCUAACCCCAGAUAGGCAGGAGUGUAGAAAAUGCCUUCUCCAACCUCAGGGGAUUCUUGGUUCUUUUAAAGCCAGAAGAAUGAGGAUGGCAGGGCCACAAGCUGCCCUAAAGGAUGAUGCAGUGCUGCAGGAGAUUAAGAGGAAGGGGGCAUUUUUAAAUUCUUUUGGAGUACUGAAGGGGAAAUAACAGAAUGGUGAGAGAAGCUACUGGUUUUGAGUGUUGACACCAUGCCAGGUGCUGUUCUAAGCAGCCUAUGUCAACAUGGUACUUAAUUCUUACAGCUAACUAGGAGGUAGAUGCUGUCAAUGUCCUCAUUUGGCAAGGCUCUGAGGCUUAAAUGUCCACUGUCUUGCCUGACUUUCCUUCUGUAAAUGACAGAACUGAAAUGUAAGCCCAGAUGUGUCUAAUUUCAGUGCCCAUGAGUUAAAUCAAUAGGUAGCACUGCCCAAAUGCCAUUCCAGAUACCCAGAAAACCCAAAGCUGAUACUGCUAAACAAAGGUUAGGGGCCCGUGAGAAACUACAGAGGUCAGAGCACUCCUAAGAGACUGAAGGGGCUCAUCUGGGACAGUGUUUGACAAAAAUGCAGGAGAAGGCGGGCCUUCUGUGGACCUCCUGUGACCUAUGGACUUGGGAAUUCCUUGCCUUGUGAAUUCCAUGCCGAUGUUAGACAAGCAUCUGGAUCAAUUACUAAACCUACGUCUCGUCAGCCCUUAGAUGCCAAAUGUGUGGUUGAUAAGAAUCAUUGUCAUUUUUUGACUUUUUAAUAAUAGCCAUUCUGACUGGUAUGAGAUUGGGUAUUUUUAUUCUAAAUAAAUAUUCUUUUUUAUAACAACAACAAACAAAUCACUGUAAGAUCAUAAGUUAACAAAGAACAAAUCAUGCCAGACAAACUUCGUUCUUCUUUAUGGCUCUGCUCUCCUGAUGGCUUGGUGGGAGGUGGGGGUGGAGGGGAAUCUGCAGAUGGCUUUCCAUAGAGCAUCUGCUCCCAGCUCUCAUGAAAUCCGUGAGGACAGAUUUGGAAACAUGAGCUAGACAAUACCAGGGCAGGCUGCUUUCUGGUGGGUUAAAGACCUGUGCUCCAAGGGAACUGAUUAGCCAAUAUGGGCUUAGAGGAAUUCUCAGUGGCAAACUGGAGAUGAUUCAACAAUCAGAAUGAAAAAUGUCACCGUGACAUACUUGUGGAGAAAAGCAAACAGCACCAAGCAAGUAGAUUUUCACUAUAUCUGAGAUACCAGGGAGGGGAGCCAGUAUUACAAAAUUGCCUGGAUUUAAUGAUGAUGAUAAUAGGUAACACCUUUAAGUAUGUACUCUGUCCCCAGGUGUGGUUCUAAGCAUUUUACAUAAAUUAGUUCCUUUAGCACCUCCCAACAACCCUACAAAGUAGGUUAUAUUAUUUUCCACAUUUUACAGUUGAGGAAACUGAGGCGGAGAAUGAUUUCAUAGUUACCAGAUGCCUGAGAUUUAGAGUCCCAUUUAGCUCUGAGAUUGUAUUGGAAGGUGGGGAAAGAGUGGCUUGUAUGUGCACAAAAAGAAGAUAAUCACGGUGUGCCAAGGGGCUUAGCUGUCCCUUUCUCUGGGAGAUUUUUCUCUACCUCCCAAGUGGGGCUAGCGGCCUCUCCUAUGCACUCACAAGGCAUCCGGUACAUGGCGCUGUCCCUGCCCCUCCCCGAGGUUUAUAAUUUCCUAUGUGCAUGUUUGCCUCCCCUCUAGAUUCAUUUCAUCCCUUUAGGACCCUCAGCUUUGAGCACAGUGGCAACGCUGGGGUUUCCAGAAGUGUUGGUAAGGGGAUUGAAAUGAAUGUAAAGAUUGUAAAGUCUGAAGAAGAGACAGAAGGCCCUGGGGCCAGGGGGCAUGCAUGUGUGACAAAAUCUCAACCAAAGGCCACAGGGGAUGAGAAGAUAGAAGGAAGAAGUUGUCAUCCCCUGGAGCAUGGUAUUGAGGGAACCUGUGGGAUGGUCUUUCCCCAAGGCCUCGAUGGCCUCGCGGGGAGAGACCAUGGUAUAGACUCACUGGCCUCUCAUAAGCUUCUCCAGCUCCACAAGCCAAGAAGCCUAUGAAGUCUGUGGAGUUUCAAGUGCUGCACACUGGGCUGCUCACCUUUUCCUUUUAGAGUAAAGAGAUCAAGAAGACAUGGAGGAAAUGUAAAGAUAUAUUGGAAAGUACGUGGUAUAUAAUAUUAACUAAAGUCAAUAGUUUACAUUAGGCUUGGCUCUUGACUUCAGUUAAUAUUAUAUACCACAUAUUGAUUAAUCAGUUGUAACAGUUGUACCACACUAGUGCAAGAUGUUAAAAUAAAAAAAGGUGUGUGUGUGUGUGUGAGAGAGAGAGAGAGAGAGAGAAACAGAAAGACAGAAACAGAUGAGGUGUAUGGGAACUCUUUUUUUAGCAAUUUUUCCAUAACCUAAAAUUGUUCUAAAAAGUAAAAUCUAUUAAAACAAUACAGAGAUCUCUGUGAUCGCACCUAGAACAUACCCGGGAAAUACUGCUGAUGCACUCAUGUGCACUCACAGGAAUCACAGAACUAUACAGAGAUGGGCGCCCUCCUCAUUCCUUGGGGUAGACAGAUAUAGAAACAGGCUCAGCCAACAUCAGAUGUAACUUGCUCACUUUCUUUCCACUUCCCUUCAAUAAAUAUGCAGUAGGUGAACAUGCUUCAUAGAAUGGGAAAUGCUACACAAUUAUUAAAAACGUGUGGGCUAAAUCAAUCUAAGAGAUUGAAGAGAGCUGCUUCAAGUCAUUAUACUCAAGUGGACUCUGGGAGGGGUAGCCUUAGCAUCUGCUCCUUCUGGCCAAGGGCCAAAUGGAUUGGGGUCCCGAGCACAUCCACAGGAGGCCAGAAUGGCUGUAACUGGUGUCUCUUGUCCUGAUUAGAGGGUGAGGGCGGCUUCAGAGUUUCUAGAGUGUGGCCCCCGUCCUAAGGGGGCAUUGGGAUGGGGCUGCUCCUGAGCUGGGAGAAGGAGCUGGGAUGAGUGUCAGGCAGUUGCUGAGGGGUGGAGGAGAAGGAGCGAGCAGUUGCUAAGAGAGCUGGCAGGAGUGGAGCUGGGUGAUGUUUGACUCUGGAUUAAAAAAAUUUUUUAAGCAAGCAAAGAGAAUUUCCACUCUGCCAGAGCUAGGAGACCUUUGAGACCAUCUCUUCCAUCUUCUCACUCUAUAGCUGAGGAAACAGGGCCUGGAGGGAUCCCCCAGAGACCCAGUGGCAGUCCCACACUAGGCUGGGCUGUCCCUGACUCCUAGGCUCAUGCUUUGCAAAAUUGAAUGGGCCUGCAAAACAGCUCUCAAGCCUGAGCACUUCUCCCAUCUCACCCAAGUAACUCCUCUGCCUUGAGCCUUUUAACGGCUUCUCAUUCUGAGAGGAACCACUUACCUCCCCUACCAUGGUAUCUCAGGCCUUGACAGGCUGUCCUUCUCAUCUCUC
Molecule: long non-coding RNA, 7305 nt
Filed under: Homo sapiens (human)
Lineage: Eukaryota; Metazoa; Chordata; Mammalia; Primates; Hominidae
Description: HSALNT0022678
Source: RNAcentral